Non-coding RNA from Triticum aestivum (bread wheat), 124 nucleotides. The record is from Rfam. NCBI's taxonomy places the organism in Eukaryota, Viridiplantae, Streptophyta, Magnoliopsida, Poales, Poaceae.
UUACUACUCCCUCCGACCGAAAAUACUUGUUGAGGAAUGGAUGUAUCUAAUCAUAUUUUAAUUUUAGAUGCAUCCAUUUUUAUCCAUUUGUGCGACAAGUAUUUCCGAACGAAGGGAGUACAUC